This 48-nucleotide ribosomal RNA is filed under the name Lecanora bicincta. RNAcentral describes it as "partial 28S ribosomal RNA". Lineage: Eukaryota; Fungi; Ascomycota; Lecanoromycetes; Lecanorales; Lecanoraceae. The record is from RNAcentral.
GAUUGGCCUCGGAUCAGGGUAGGGAUACCCGUGAACUUAAGCUAUCAU